ACAGCAGGGCCAGGGGGAUUGCAAGAAGAAGGGUAGGAUCCAGAGACCCAAGUCCAAAAAAGCCGAGUCCUGCACCAUCAAGUGUGUCAACACUUGCAUCCGAGGGGAAGAAGGCCCUCUUAACAUCAGAAGGACCAGACUUUGGGGACGAUGAUUGGGCGUGCUAGGAUGAUUGAAGGUCUUUACUACUUUGAUGAAAUCUCUGUUAGUAAUAAACAAGCUCAGGGCUUGAGUAGUACUAGUUCAAUUCCUGUUCCAGACACAAUUAUGCUAUGGCAUCUUAGACUUGGCCAUCCUAGUUUUGCCUAUUUGAAACAUUUAUUUCCUGAUUUGUUUAAAGGAAUAGAUUAUUUACUUUUUCAAUGUGACAGUUGCAUCUUGGCAAAAAAUCAUCGUUCUACAUAUUUACCAAGACCUUACCAUGCUUCCAAAACUUUUUAUAUAAUUCAUAGUGAUGUUUGGGGUCCAUCCAAAAUUUCUACUCUUUCUAGAAAACGAUGGUAUGUUAGCUUUAUUGAUGAUCAUACACGUUUGUGCUGGAUUUAUUUGAUGCAAACAAAAUUUGAAGUGGAAUACUUAUUUAAAAAUUUUUACACUAUGAUUGAAAAUCAAUUUCAAACCAAAAUUGGUAUUUUACACUCUGACAAUGGCACCGAGUAUUUUAAUGAGCACUUGGGGGAUUUUUUGAAAACAAAAGGUAUUCACCACACAUCUACUUGUCGGAAUACUCCUCAACAGAAUGGCAUUGUUGAACCUAAAAACAAACAUUUACUCAAAGUCGCCCGUGCCAUAAUGUUUUCUAUGCAUAUUCUGAAAUAUUUAUGGGGUGAAGCUGUUUUAACGGCGUCCUAUUUGAUAAACAGGAUGCCCACUAAAGUAUUAAAGUACAAAACCCCCCUUGAGUGCUUGAAAGAAGUGUUUCCCCACACUCGGUUACAUUCGGAUCUUCCUAUCAAAGUUUUUGGAUGUACUGUGUAUGUUCAUAUACCUAAUCACUUUCGUUCCAAACUUGACCCUAGGGCUGUCAAAUGUGUUUUUUGGGGUUAUGUCUCACGUCAAAAAGGCUAUAAGUGUUAUGAUCCUCACACAAAAAAAUUCUUUACCAGUAUGGAUGUUUCGUUUUUUGAAAAACAACCAUAUUUUUCCCAAAAUUCUCUUCAGGGGGAGAAACAUGGAGUUGAAGAUAAUUUUUGGGAUGUUUUUGUCCCACUUCCAAAUGCAAUUUGUCCUACUCAAGAGCCACAUGGUUCUAAUAAUGGUCACUUAGGAGAUUCUGGUUCUCGUUCUAGUUCUUUGGUGCCCAGUGAAAAGGUUUCUCGUACAGGGGGAGAAGUACUACAGACUGACCAUCAUGAUCUGAAUUCCGAGCUUCAGGUUUAUACUAGGCAGAGAUUUCAUCAAAGGAACAAAGACUUGAAUAUCAACUCUGCACAAAACCAGUUUGAAAACCCGAGCAGUGGCACUGUAAGUUCAAGAAAUCCCAUUUCAACUUCUAGUUUACUUCCUUCAACUGUGUCCAAUAGUUCCCCAGUUGAUUCUUCUACUAUUCUUGAUCUCGAUGUUCCUAUAGCCAUUAGGAAAGGUGUCAGAAGUUGCACUAAGCAUCCUAUUGCAAAAUAUCUCUCUUACCAUAGACUAUCAAAAAAUCAUAAAGCUUUCAUAUCUAGAAUUUCACACUUGUUUGUUCCAAGGAAUAUACAGGAAGAUUUGGAUGAUCCGAAUUGGAAAUUAGCAAUCAUAGAGGAGAUGAAUGCUCUGAGGCGAAGUGGCACUUGGGAGAUAGUUUAUUUGCCCUGUAGAACUUUUAGAUCAAAUAGCAAAGCGGUAUGUAAAAUACCUGAAUCGCAGCGGAAUAUCGAAAAUGAUUUGUCUAACAACCUCCGUGGAAGAAAACUAUAAAAGCUUUUUUAUCCGUCCACCCCUUGUUCGUCCAAGGCUCGAAUGGUGAUGCCGAAGACAGUAUAUGAGCGAUUAGAAACUGAUUCUGAUUUUUGUUGUUUUUCCAUUAGCCUCUAUGUCUAUUUAUAGGUAUCACAAAGAUACAGAUAGACAUGGCUUUAUCGGAAUUUGAAUCUCAUUCAAAUUCUAAUUACUUAUCCCAUUAUUGUUAAAAUUCAAAUGUUAAUAAAUUUGAAACAAAUUCAAAUUCAUAACAUUUACCUUUAUCACCAGGGAACUUAUCAUAAUGUAAUCGCAAUUCUAAUAUGCCCAAAGACAAGAAAAUAGUAGGGUGUAAAUGGGUGUUUACAAUAAAGUGUAAGGCUGAUGGAAGUGUUGAUAGGUACAAAGCCAGACUUGUGGCUAAGGGCUUCACCCAGACUUAUGGAAUUGACUACCAGGAGACUUUUGCUUCUGUUGCUAAAAUAAACUCUAUCAGAGUCUUAUUGUCUCUUGUAGUAAAUUCAGAUUGGCCUCUACACCAGCUUGAUGUCAAAAAUGCAUUUCUUAAUGGUGAUCUUGAAGAAGAGGUCUUCAUGAGUUUGCCUCCGAGAUUCGAAAAGAAACUUGGGAGUGACAAAGUAUGGACUGAAGAAAUCCUUGUAUAGUCUCAAACAGUCACCAAAAGCAUAGUUUGAACGUUUUGGAAAGGCAGUUACCAGUUAUGGCUUCCUUCAGAGUCAGGCAGAUCACACUAUAUUUUAUAAACACUCAAAAGUUGGUAAAGUUGUAAUUUUGAUUGUUUAUGUUGAUGAUAUUAUUUUAACUGGUGAUGAUGAGACAGAGUUAGGAACCCUUAAGCUGAAACUUCCGAAGGAGUUCCAAAUUAAGGACCUGGGAAGUCUAAAAUACUUUCUUGGGAUGGAGUUUGCAAGAUCCAAAGAAUGUAUUUUUGUCAAUCAAAGAAAAUAUGUUCUUGAUCUUCUUGGAGAAACAAGUUUGCUCGGUUGCAGGAUGUCGGAGACUCCCAUUGAGCCUAAUGUGAAACUACAGGCUGCUAAAGCUGAUGAAGUGAAGGACAGAGAACAAUAUCAGAGACUUGUGGGCAGGUUAAUCUACUUGUUUCAUACGCGGCUUGAUAUUGCUUUUGUAGUUAGUAUGGCAAGUCAGUUUAUGCACUCACCAGGGCUAGAGCAUUUCGAGGUGGUCUAUAGAAUCCUAAGGUAUCUAAAAGGGACACCUGACAAAGGGUUAAUGUUCAAGAAACAUGGUCACCUGCAAGUUGAGAUUUACAUUGAUGCAGAUUGGGCAGGAAGUGUUAAUGAUAGGAGAUCUACCUCGGGCUACUGUUCUUUUGUUGGGGGUAAUCUAGUCAGCUGGCGAAGCAAAAAACAAAAUGUAGUGGCUAGAAGUAGUGUAGAAGCAGAGUUUAGAGCUGUUGCCCAUGGAAUUUGUGAGGGAAUGUGGAUCAAAUGAAUAUUUGAAGAACUGAAGUUUCCUCAUUCAGUACCUAUAAAAGUCUAUUGUGAUUACAAGGCUACCAUCUCUAUAGCUCAUAAUCCAGUGUUGCAUGACCGUACAAAACAUAUAGAGGUGGACAAACAUUUUAUCAAGGAGAAGAUCGAUGUUAGAGUAAUAUGCAUGCCAUACCUUUCAACAACUGAACAAAUUGCUGAUAUUCUAACUAAGGGUCUUCACAAGAAGCAGUUUGAUAAACUUAUUGGCAAGCUGGCUAUGGACGAUAUCUACAAACCAGCUUGAGGGGAAGUGCUGGAAUUAUGCUCAAUUAAGGCUGAUCUCUAGGAUCAGUGUUUUAUGUAAAUAUUGUGUAAAUAUAGAAAGAGAAUAAUGUAAAUUAGGAUGGUAGGAUGCUGUCUAUUUUUUCUUUCCUUCUUUGCUAAUAAUCCUCUCCUUAUAAGAGGAUAUUGUACACAUUCAUUCAUUAAUUCAAUCAAGACAUUGUCUUUGAUAAUUUCUAAGUUCAUCAAUCUGAAGGAAAGUUAGAACCCAGAUCCAAAAAAUGUGUGUUUGUAGGCUACCAAGAAGGUACUAAGGGAUAUAGGCUAUGGGAUAGGGAUUCAGGUGGAGUUAGGAUAAUCAUUAGUAGAGAUGUUAUAUUCAAUGAAACUAAAUUCCCUUGUAAGAUAACAAACACAGAAAAAUCUAAUGAUAAGAGAAAACUAGAUGAUCAUACUAUUCUAAAGGAUACUCAAAUUUAGGUGGAGCAACCAACUAUAGGAAAUAACAUGUUUGAUGCUCCAGCUAUAUCUGAACCAAAUUUGGGGGAUGUUUCAUCCCCUACUAAUCAUACCUCUGAUCACAUUUCUGAUCAAGAGGAACAAACAGAUGACCCGGAGAUUGAGGAGGAACAAACUAAUGUUCCCCAACAGGAUCUUAGUGACUAUCAACUAGCCAGGGAUAGGAGUAGGAGGGUGGUAAGACCACCCUCUAGAUAUGCUUAUUCAGACUUAGUAUAUUGUGCUUUGGUUGCUGGUUAUGAAUUGAGAGAUAGUGAGCCUUCUACUUAUGAGGAGGCUGUCAACUCUCAAGACAGUGUUAGAUGGCAGCAAGCCAUGGAUGAAGAAAUGGCAUCCCUUGCUGCAAAUAGAACUUGAGAACUUGUUCCCGAAUCAAAAGUUAAUUCAAUUUAAGUGGUUGUACAAAUUAAAGGAAGGUAUGUCACCCUCUAAACUAAUUAAAUACAAAGCAAAGUUAGUUGCAAAGGGUUUUACCCAAAGAGAGGGAAUAGAUUAUAAUGAAAUAUUUUCUCCAGUUGUCAAGUUUAAAACUAUUCGUUUAAUGCUUGUUGUUACUAUUCAUUUUGAUUUAAAAUUUGAACAACUAGAUGUUAAAACUGCCUUCCUGCAUGGUGACUUAGAUGAACAAAUAUAUAUGGUUCAGCCUGUUGGAUAUAUUGAUUCAAUUAAACCUCAGCAUGUUUGUUUAUUAAAGAAAUCAUUGUAUGGCCUAAAACAGUUACCUAGACAAUGGUACAAGAAAUUUGACCAUUUUGUAUCAGAAAUUGGUUUUGUUAGGAGUCAGUAUGAUAUUUGCUUCUAUUUUACCCUUUCAGAUAUUCCCAUCUAUUUGUUGCUAUAUGUAGAUGAUAUUCUGUUAAUUAGCAAAUUCAAGUUCAAAAUCAGUGAAUUAAAAUCUAUGUUAAACAUGAAAUUUGAUAUGAAGGACUUAGGGCAUGCUAAGAAGAUUCUAGGAAUGAAAAUAGAAAGAAAUAGAAGCAAUUUCAGUUUAAAAAUACAACAACAUGAUUACUUGUUAAAAGUUGUGCAAAGAUUUGGAAUGAAUAAUUGUAAAUUUGUAUCGGUCCCUUUAGCUGGUCAUUUUUUGCUUUCUAAAGCCCAGUGUCCCACUUCAAAUUCUGAAAUCAUUAAGAUGAAAAACGUACCUUAUGAAAAUGCAAUAGGAACCAUUAUGUAUUCUAUGAUUAGUACCAGGCUUGACUUUGCUCAUUCAAUUUCCUUACUAAGUAGAUACAUGUCAAACCCUGGGAAACCUCAUUGGGAUGCCUUGAAAUACUUGUUUAGAUAUAUUAAUGGUUCUGUCAACAUUGGUUUGUGUUAUAAAAGAAGAUAUGAUAAUCUUGAUCUUGUGGGAUAUGUAGAUUCAGAUUUUGCAAGUGAUAAAGACUCCAGGAAAUCCACUACAGCUUACUUCUUUACAUUGGGAGGUAACUGCAUCAGUUGGAAGUCACAAUUGCAGCCUCUGGUUACAUUGUCUUCCACUGAGGCAGAGUACGUGGCCAUUACUGAUGCCUUUAAAAAAGCCAUAUGGCUUCAAGGCCUCCUUAGGGAAAUCAAUUUGCUUCAGUGGUGUUCUUGGAUAGUCAAAGUGCUAUCCACUUCUGUAAAAAUCCAGUAUAUCAUGAGAGGACUAAGCAUGUUGAGGUUAAGUAUCACUUUGUCCGAGAACUGGUAACAAAUGGAACUGUGGUUAUUAAAAAGGUUUCAAUCGAGGAUAAUCCAGCUGAUGUGGGGACCAAGACUCUGUCUACAGUCAAGUUCAAGCACUGCUUGGGCUUGCUGCACAUUGAAGUUAGUUGAUUCUUCAAUUGACAAGAGCUAUAAUGGUAAGAAAUUGAAGCAUGCUGCACUAUCUUCUGGGUAUUGGGUUCAUCCUCCUUUUGAUGCUUCAAGGUGGAGAUUGUUGUGGGUGAAGCAUCAAAACGAUGCCAUCUUGAUUGGAGGGUAAAGUUGGCAACCAUCAAGGCUGCAAGCCUUUGCCCGACGCCUUUAUCUAUCCUUUGGCUUUUUUGUUAAUCGUGUUAUACAAUCUCUUUAUGGCCGUCGAUGUUGCCUUUAUCAGAUCUAAUCUCGGCCACUCAAUUUUCAUAUAAAUUCAACAAUGCCUCGAGAUUGUAGGUAGACGGAAAAUAUCGCAGAAAAGAGAAGGGAAAGAGGGAGAUUAAUCGAAGGAGGGUUUCUUGGUGAGAAUAGCUUCCAUUCUUGUUGCAUUCUAUUCUCGUUGUAAUCUCUGGUUCUUAGGUUUGCUUCUAAUCUGUAUUUGAUGAUUGUGAGGCUAUUUUGUUAGAAGAAUCAUUGAUGUACAUUUUGUAUGUUCGGAUUUAAUGUAACCCUACUUGAUAUAGUGCAGUGAGCUUUUUCUUCCUGAGCUCAACGUGGACGUAGUCCAUUUGGGUGAGCCACGGUAAAUUUGUUGUGUCCUCUUUCUAUUUCUGUUCUUCUUUAUGUUCUGGUUUGCUUGCGUUUUUUGAUUGCGUAAGUGUGUUUAAUAUUUUCUGUUCUGCCGAAGCACUUUUGGAUUCUGUAAAGGUUUGUUUAAUUUGGUUUGUUUGAGUCUUCCGCUCGGCUCAACACAUAUAGUCUUGUUUCUAUAUCUCAUGUCUAUGCCCGUACUUGAUACUGUGAGUGAUUGAAAGGUACAUCAUAGUUGAUUCAGAUACUCACAGUUGUUAUAUCAUAUAUAAUUUGACAUGGGCCCACAAGAUUUUUAUUCUUUAUAUUGUUAAGGCUGAUUAAGUGUCUCCCCAUCAGAGGUUACCACAUUUCUAUAGUGAAUGUUAUGCAUGGAAAAUUAAUAACCAAUUCCUUAACCAUAUGCAACAUAUAGCAACAAAUACCAUGUUUCAUAAUAGCAUGAAGAAGGAAGAAAACAGAAGACCACUGGUGGUGUUCAAACAAGGAUUCCGAAGUCGUCAAUACUGGUUGGCCACUUUAUAUUUGGAGCUCAAAGACAAGGGAAAGAAAUGGGUGGAAGAAUGAAUCUUUUUCUGCUUCUUCUUCUACUACUACCACCACCACUACUGGGCAUGGUUAAGAUGGAGUCUGCAGAUUAGCCAUUGCUUGUGCGGAGCUUGCAGACAAGGGAAGAAGGGAAUGAAUACUGGCUUCGUUUAUUGGCUUGCACUCAAUUGUAUUUGAAAUCUAUGGAAUGUACAAAGAAAUAUAUUCAAAUGGCAAACUGAGCAAUGCGUCCUCUUAUGUGCUCUAAGAGAUUUGAUAUGUCAUGAACUUUUCCAAAAUCCCAAGAUGCUUGACUUGCUCAGGGUCCUUCCUAGGCAGUUUGAGGAGUAAAAAGCUUUGUUGAGGCCUCAGUUACUGGUUCAAAAAUUAAUUGUGAUAGUUGGUCAGUGUCCUAGUUACUCCUUCCUGUGAUAGGUCAACCUCAGUAGUCAAUACCCAUGGAAAAGUCUAGACCUGAGUCACUCUAUCCCAUGAUUGUUGACUUGUUCCCAGACUCGUAUCUCCAAAAACAGUUUGCACAUUGUACCAUGUUACAGCAUAUAAAACAUGCAUGACUGAAUCAUGUCAUUCAAUCUUGUGCAAGCCAAAUCAUAUGCGUGAACCACAACAAUGAGACGUGACAAUGUUCUUACCAAAAUAAGAAUGCAGCUAGAGUAAACACCGCAACACAAGCCUCAGCCCUUCACCUUUUGCUCCAACACAGCAAGCAUGACACAACUACUCAGCUGUGCCACACUACAAUACAACAGCAACUUACAGUUGCAACAUCACUUUCAUGCACACACAAGGCAAAGAAUACUGGAGGAAUUCACACAUUCCAACUUUUGCCCUUGUAUGGUCAAGGGGCUGCAUGUUUGGUGAAAGACACUGAACACUCCAUUGGUUGGCUUUGUCUCUUCAGCUUUCCCAGCUCAAAAUCUCGUUUUUCAUUUCUGAGCAAUCCUCCCACUUUUCCAGCACAUUUGUAGCCUCCAACCUUUGUCUCCCAUUUCAUUCAACAUAUACCCUGUUCAUUUCAACUUCAUAGAGUUCUCUUUUUCAGUAGAAUAGCUUGCUUGCUGGUGUAUUUAUGGUGGGUCUUAGAAUAGCUUGAUUUCAUUUGUUUAUGUUCAAGAUGACAAUGACAGGUAUCUAUAAUCUUCUUGUUGCAGUUGCUCUGAAAAAAACACCUUGAAAAGAUCCCCAACUGUUGAGAAAUCUCCUGUGAACAAACACACAGCCAUAAGGCCAAAACCAAGAGAAGUACCAAGAUCCACAAAUAACCAAAACUAAACGAAAGAAAACGAAGAACACAACGCAUAUACGUGUUCGGAUUCGAAAGAAUCCUACUCAUGGCAGAGGUUCCGCCUCUAGUCAAUCCACUAAAAUAAUAAUCAAAAGAUUUACAUAAUACAUGCGCAAGGACAUCACGACCAUCGCAAAUCAGAAACCAAAACAAACAAGGCAAAAUAUACAGAGUACAAUGCUCAAAACCCGAGCAACCUAUGCACUCAAACCUCACCAAUCUCUCCCUCAAACCACCUAAGUGAUUAUGCACUUACUGGGAUUCGAGAUCGGAAAUACCUUGCGUCUUCUUUUUCGUUCUUGGAUCAUCGAGCACCUUCGAGCUCUUCGCGAGCUUCUCCGUUCUGCCCUCUAUCUCUGUGCGCAUUCUUGUUACCCGAUUAGGGCUUCUUUGUGACUGUUGCACACUGAUUUUCCUCCAAAUGCCAGACUUUAUAUACAUGGGCCAAGGGACAUGAAUGGGAAUAACAAGAAAGGGAGCAAGACACGGGCUUGGGCUUGGGCUUGUGGGGCUUUAAAUAAGCAAGCCCAACCCAAAUCAUUUUGAAUCACAAAUAUUAAGAAAUUCCACCUUGAUUCAAGAAUGGAUUAAUAGUGGACUUGACCAGAGACCCCUGCAACUCUCCCAACUACAACAAGAGCACAUUGAACAACGACACAGCUUGCUCAAACUUAUAACUCGAGAUAGACUCGACUAAUACAUGCCUCACUAAGAGCAACAUGAACCUCUAUCAAGACUCCUAUAAACAGGAUAUCAAGGCUAACUCUAGGACUUUCAUUAGACACGGAAAUUUCCUAAGGUUCUACCUUAAGACUGACAAAUUUCCAUCUCAAACUAAAAUCAUAAGUUAGUUCAGGUUCGUCUAAUACUACAAGACCAGGCACACAUCAACAUCUAGACCUACAUCAGUUUUAAAACUUAAUCCUCUUUCUUGUUCAAUAUUUAAAGAUUUUUCACUCCUUAAACUUCUCAAAAGAUUCACUUUUACGCCUAAGGAAGAAUCCCCAAAAUCUCUCCAGAAUAUCCACUAACAAAGAAAGAAAUAUCAGGUCCUAAACAAAAAUUAGGAACUUGGAAUAGCUCCCAAUAAAGAGACAGAGAAAGCAACUUACAACCCAUGGGAAUCAAAACACAAGCAUCUAUGGGAAACUCUAACCCAUACCAUAAAACAGGAUUCAUACAACCCUCUAGGUUACUAACCUAAACAAAUUCAUUCAUGCAUAACAUGCUUAACUCUAGACUCCAAAAAUAAACAGCCCUACCAAUACAUAGAGACUUAACAAUUUACUUAGACUCUUAAGUCAUUCCAUACCUUCUCCUCGGAUUACCUGCCUUCUUUUCUUCUUUCUGUUCUGUCACAUGCUGAAGUUUCCAUGGCCAUUGAACUCUUCAAGUUCCACCUUAAUAGGUGCCAUCUUUGGUUUUGUUCUUUCAAGGAAAAACAAAGAACCAACAAGAAAAAAAAAAAAAAAUACAA
Molecule: RNA transcript, 9859 nt
Organism: Diospyros lotus (date-plum)
Lineage: Eukaryota; Viridiplantae; Streptophyta; Magnoliopsida; Ericales; Ebenaceae
Exons: 4
Source: RefSeq, a predicted model, not a curated record